Molecule: non-coding RNA, 3536 nt
Organism: Sus scrofa (pig)
Lineage: Eukaryota; Metazoa; Chordata; Mammalia; Artiodactyla; Suidae
Source: RefSeq, a predicted model, not a curated record
CCUCGUUCUUAUUUUAGGUUUCAGUCUCCUAAACUCCAUCAAAUUCGCGCUGCGCACUCGGCGAGCUCGGCAGCGGCUCCCAAGAAAAAAAAGCCAGAUCUUCCAAACAGAAUCUUCUUCCGACUGCCAUGCUGGAAAAGGCAUCCUUAGACUUCGUCCCAACUGUGUUAAAUGUAAAUAUCUAUACUUAGCCAAAGUGAGAGUACUGUCCAGAACCUUGUAAUUUGCUUUAUUAUUUUCUCGAUCAUUUUAGCUGCUCUUGCUGAAUCUGACCUCUGUCUCUGUAUAUGUCUUUCUGUUUUGCCCUCUCUCCCACUAAACAUUUUGCUAAAUCUAACGACAGACUGCCGCCGGCGGAGAGCGUUUCCGGUUGUAGAGCUGGGUGCGACACUGCACACGUCCCUGGCACAGAGCACUGUAAAUGCGAGUGAGGAAGGGCCUCUUGGCCUCGUAGGACGCGGCUGUUUCUAUUUACUUGUGUGAGAGUAAGAUUAAAGAAGCUGAGAUAGCUGUGGGUGAUUUGCUUAGUGAAGAACUGGGGCCUCUGCACCCUGAUCCAAGAAAACCCUGAAAACCCACUGUUUCCAUUAUCUUCCUGUUUUUUCAAACGGUGUUAUUAUCUCGGCAAUUGCUUCCCCUCUCCGCGUCGUGAGCGAGACACGACCAGGAAAUGAUGCAAUUACCAAAGAAGUCAAGAAACCUUCUAGCCCGCCAUCAGUUCAGAAACUCGCAUGAAAUAGGAGCAGACGGCAAGAGAAUGUAACUUUGAAAGUGCCAACCAUUACAGUUGAAUAAAUGUAACCCAAGAGAUCCCGCUCCGCUGCAAGAUGAAAGGAGGCUUAAGUAAAAUAGACAUAAAUGUGUAAUGAACUUGCUCGCAAUAUCCGGCGCCACUGUGAAUUACAGCCUUUGUCCAGCACCAUAGAAUAUAGAAACCUGCAAGUAUAAAACAAUGAACACAUGACCUAUAUACUUCAUCUAGACCUGUGCUGUCUAAUUAACACCAGCCUCCUUCAUGUGACUUUGUCCACUGCAUUGUGGUGAGUAAGAAUUGAGGUGUUCUGUAACUGUUGAAUACAUACUGGAUUUUUAAGCAUUAGUAUGAAGAAAAAAGUAUGUAAAAUGUUAAUAACGUUUACAUUGAUUACAUUCUAAAUGCUAAAGACUGAGUUAAAAUAUUAACAUCAUUUUCCUUUUUUUAAUGUAGCUACUAGAUUAUUUUAAGUUGUAUAUACUGUUUGCCUUAUAUUUCUAUUUUAUAGUGCUAAUCUAGAUUCAGUAGUUAACAUUUUGCCAUAAUUUGCUUUCUUUUGAUCUUUUAUUUGAAACCAUUUGAGGUUAGUUGCAGACAUCAUGAAAUUUAACUUCCAACUACUAUAUCAUUUAUUUCCAAAGAACAAGCAAUACAGUUGUCACUCAGGAAAUUAAAUUUAAUUCAACAUUAUUUAUUGUACAGUUCCUAGUCAAAUUUUCCCAUUGUCCUAACACUUUUUAUAUUUUUUCCUUUUUAUCCAGGAUCCACUCAAGGAUUAAACAGUGCAUUUAGUUGUCAUGUUUCUGUAGUCUUUUAUUAUUUAUUUAUUUUUUUGUUUUUUGCCAUUUCUUGGGCUGCUCCCACAGCAUAUGGAGGUUCCCAGGCUAGGGGUCUAAUGGGAGCUAUAGCUGCCAGCCUACGCCAGAGCCACAGCAACGCGGUAUCCGAGCUGCGUCUGCAACCUACACCCCAGCUCACGGCAACGCCAGAUCCUUAACCUCACGGUUCCUAGUCGUAUUCGUUAACCACUGAGCCACGACGGGAACUCCUGUAGUCUCCUUUUGAUCUGAAACAAUUCUCCAAUCCUGUUUUUUUUGUUUGUUUUUGUUUUUGUUUUGUUUUGUUUUGUUUUUACAGCAUUGACCUUUUUGAAUAGUGGAGGACAGUUGCUUCAGAAACUCCCUCCAUUUAAAUAAAUAUUUCUUUUGUUAGAAAAACUGUCUUAAGUGAUGUGUCCUUCUCAGGGCAUUACAUCAGAAUUCAAAUACUGCUGAUGUAUUGUGUUAUGUCUAAUGGUGAAUUGGGUAGGCAGAAUAAUGUCCCGCAGGAGAUGUUUCUGUCCUAAUCUCCAGAAUAAUGAAUGCUUCCUGUGGCAGUAGGAGUUUUGCAAAUGUGAUUAAUUAAGGGUUUUGAGAGAGCAAAAAUUAUCCUAUGUUAUGGGAGGGGGGGUACAUCCAAAAUCAUCACAGGGAUCCUUCUAAGACAAGGAGGGAGGUUGGAGAGUUGGAGUCCCAGUGAUAUAAUGCCAGGAGGCUUUGAAGACAGAGGAAGGGGACCAUGAACUAAGGAAUGCAGGGGGCCUCUAGAAGCAGAGAAAGGCAAGGAAAUGGGGUUCUUCCCUAGAGCCUCCAGAAAGAAAACAGCCCUGCCAGCACCUAGGGUUUAGCCUAGUGAGACCUCCAUCAAAAUUCUGGACUACAGGACUGUUAGAUAUAAAUUUGUGCUGUUGUAAGCCAUUGAGUUUGUGGUAAAUUUUUGCAGUACCAGUAGGAAACCAAUACAGUAAGUCUGAUAAUUUGGUGAAGGUGUCUGCCAUAUUUCUCCUUUUUUUGUUGUUGUUUUGUAUGGUUUGGUUUGGUUUGGUUUUGGUUUUGGUUUUUUUCUUUUUUGGCCAUACCCCCGGCUCAUGGAAGAUGUCUGGCCAGCGAUCAAAUCUGAGUCACCUAUAUCACAGCUGCAACCUUUACCACAACGCUGGAUCCUUAACCCACCGCACUGGCUGGGGAGCCAACUGGCACUGCCGCAGAGAUAACACGGGGAUCCUUAACCCGCUGUGCCUUAGCCAGAACUCCUUUCCAUGGUAAAGUUACCUUUUACACUUGUAAUUUACAAAUAUUUUUUAAAAGAUAGCAAAUAUCACCUGUGAAAGUUAUAUUUUGAAAAUAUAUGGAUUUUCUGUUCCCCAGAAAAAUUCCACUAACUGGCUUUAGCAUCUGCUAAUGAUCCUUGCCUGAAUCAAUCAUUAUUCUAGUGCAUGCAAAAUGGUGUUAUUUUAUCAUUCUCGUGUAAAAACUUUCCUUUCUCUCCUCCCUCUUUUUAUUCUUUAUUUAAUUUUAAAAUGUCAGUUUGGAUUCAUAUUCUUUUUUGUAUUUUUGUGUUUCUAGUCAGUGUGUUAUAAUCUACUGCUGUCCUUAUUCAUUUAAUACUUAAAUUGUCCCAAGUUUGGCCAGAGAGAGUCCCUUUGUGCUGGCUUCUAUAUUCGUUUGACAUGUCCCCAUAAAUUUUUGAACACUUCUUUACCUUCUGGCACAAGAUGGUCCAGGCACAUCCUGUACUUUAUAAAUUGAUGUAGGGAGAAUAAACAUCUUUAUGCAUAUAUCUUUUCUCUUUUAAUUUCCUUUUUAAAAAUUUUACACAAGGUGGGGCAUACUCAACAUACUGUUCUGUAACUUUUUAAAAAUUAAUUUCUUUUAAAAGAUGUCUAUUCUUUACAUAUAGAGGUUUCUUAUUGUUUGGAUAACUAUGUAGUAUUCCAUUCUAUUAAAGCAAUUUUACAUCAUUA